This 253-nucleotide ribosomal RNA is filed under the name uncultured bacterium. Its description in RNAcentral is "partial 16S ribosomal RNA". It matches the Rfam family "Bacterial small subunit ribosomal RNA", at positions 524 to 776 of the family's 1533-position model. The record is from RNAcentral.
UACGUGGGGCGCAAGCGUUAUCCGGAAUUAUUGGGCGUAAAGGGCUCGUAGGCGGUUUGUCGCGUCGGGUGUGAAAAUCCAGGGCUUAACUCUGGACUGGCUUCUGAUACGGGCAGACUAGAGGUAUGCAGGGGAGAACGGAAUUCCUGGUGUAGCGGUGAAAUGCGCAGAUAUCAGGAGGAACACCGGUGGCGAAGGCGGUUCUCUGGGCAUUACCUGACGCUGAGGAGCGAAAGUGUGGGGAGCGAACAGG